This 62-nucleotide transfer RNA is filed under the name Tropostreptus sigmatospinus. Its description in RNAcentral is "tRNA-Asp". The record is from RNAcentral. Lineage: Eukaryota; Metazoa; Arthropoda; Diplopoda; Spirostreptida; Spirostreptidae.
AGAAAAUUAGUUAAAUUAUAACAUUAGCUUGUCGUGCUAAAAUUAUCAUAAGAUAUUUUCUU